RNAcentral lists this non-coding RNA (179 nucleotides) under Pseudomonadales bacterium. RNAcentral describes it as "6S RNA". It matches the Rfam family "6S / SsrS RNA". Rfam says of the family: E. coli 6S RNA was the first non coding RNA to be sequenced, but its function was unknown until recently. It consists of 184 nucleotides that fold into an extended hairpin structure with a large single-stranded internal bulge. Lineage: Bacteria; Pseudomonadati; Pseudomonadota; Gammaproteobacteria; Pseudomonadales. The record is from RNAcentral.
UAUUCCCUGGGUUGUUAGCCAGUCGAUCUGUCCUCGACCCUAUAAGCGAAACCCAGGGGGUCUUUUUCCGGGCCGAUGAGCAUGUCCGCUUUGCGGGAAGCCUGACGGUCAGUUAGAGACCUCCGCCUUGAACCGCUGGGUUCAAGAGGGCCGCCCGACAGCGGCAACUUGGGGAACUC